AGUCUCCACCCGGACUACGCCAUGUUGGGGCUUGUGGGUCGGGUGGCCGCUGCUUCGGCCUCCGGGGCCUUGAGAGGACUCACCCCUUCAGCGUCGCUGCCCCCAGGUCAGCUCUUACUGCGGGCCGCUCCGACGGUGGUCCAUCCUGUCAGGGACUAUGCGGUGCAAACAUCUCCUUCGCCAAAAGCAGGCGCCGCCACCGGGCGCAUCGUGGCUGUCAUUGGCGCAGUGGUGGACGUCCAGUUUGAUGAGGGGCUACCACCAAUUCUAAAUGCCCUGGAAGUGCUACUACGUUUGCCCAUUUGGAUGCUACCACUGUACUGUCGCGUGCCAUUGCUGAGCUGGGCAUCUAUCCAGCUGUGGAUCCUCUAGACUCCACCUCUCGUAUCAUGGAUCCCAACAUUGUUGGCAGUGAGCAUUACGAUGUUGCCCGUGGGGUGCAAAAGAUCCUGCAGGACUACAAAUCCCUCCAAGAUAUCAUUGCCAUCCUGGGUAUGGAUGAACUUUCUGAGGAAGACAAGUUGACCGUGUCCCGUGCACGGAAAAUACAGCGUUUCUUGUCUCAGCCAUUCCAGGUUGCUGAGGUCUUCACAGGUCAUAUGGGGAAGCUGGUACCCCUGAAGGAGACCAUCAAAGGAUUCCAGCAGAUUUUGGCAGGUGAAUAUGACCAUCUCCCAGAACAGGCCUUCUAUAUGGUGGGACCCA
RNAcentral lists this small RNA (705 nucleotides) under Pongo abelii (Sumatran orangutan). RNAcentral's name for it is "processed transcript". Lineage: Eukaryota; Metazoa; Chordata; Mammalia; Primates; Hominidae. The record is from RNAcentral.